This 497-nucleotide ribosomal RNA is filed under the name uncultured bacterium. RNAcentral's name for it is "partial 16S ribosomal RNA". It matches the Rfam family "Bacterial small subunit ribosomal RNA", at positions 28 to 507 of the family's 1533-position model. The record is from RNAcentral.
GAUGAACGCUGGCGGCGUGCCUAAUACAUGCAAGUCGAGCGAACAGACGAGGAGCUUGCUCCUCUGACGUUAGCGGCGGACGGGUGAGUAACACGUGGAUAACCUACCUAUAAGACUGGGAUAACUUCGGGAAACCGGAGCUAAUACCGGAUAAUAUAUUGAACCGCAUGGUUCAAUAGUGAAAUACGGUUUUGCUGUCACUUAUAGAUGGAUCCGCGCCGCAUUAGCUAGUUGGUAAGGUAACGGCUUACCAAGGCAACGAUGCGUAGCCGACCUGAGAGGGGGAUCGGCCACACGGGAACGGAGACACGGUCCAGACGCCUACGGGAGGCAGCAGUAGGGAAUCUUCCGCAAUGGGCGAAAGCCUGACGGAGCAACGCCGCGUGAGUGAUGAAGGUCUUCGGAUCGUAAAACUCUGUUAUUAGGGAAGAACAAAUGUGUAAGUAACUAUGCACGUCUUGACGGUACCUAAUCAGAAAGCCACGGCUAACUACGUG